AUCCGGAGGGUGCAAGCGUUAUUCGGAAUCACUGGGCGUAAAGGACGCGUAGGCGGGUUGGCAAGUCAGAUGUGGAAUCCUACAGCUUAACUGUAGAACUGCAUUUGAAACUGCUAACCUAGAGUAUGGGAGGGGGAGAUGGAAUUAGUGGUGUAGGGGUAAAAUCCGUAGAUAUCACUAGGAAUACCGAAAGCGAAGGCGAUCUCCUGGAACAUAACUGACGCUAAGGCGUGAAAGCGUGGGGAGCAAACAGGAUUAGAAACCCUAGUAGUCC
RNAcentral lists this ribosomal RNA (274 nucleotides) under uncultured bacterium. Its description in RNAcentral is "partial 16S ribosomal RNA". It matches the Rfam family "Bacterial small subunit ribosomal RNA", at positions 523 to 796 of the family's 1533-position model. The record is from RNAcentral.